Rattus norvegicus (Norway rat) is the source of this 439-nucleotide non-coding RNA. NCBI's taxonomy places the organism in Eukaryota, Metazoa, Chordata, Mammalia, Rodentia, Muridae. The record is from the annotation of a RefSeq genome assembly.
AUCUCCUACUCACUUGAGCCUUCAUCAGAGCAUGGCUGUCCUGGUGCUGUUGCUCUGCUUGGUGACAUUUCCAAUCAGUGUCCUGUCCCAGGUGCAGCUGAAGGAGUCAGGACCUGUCCUGGUGCAAGCCUCAGAGACCCUGUCCCUCACCUGCACUGUCUCUGGGUUCUCAUUAACAAACUAUGGUGUAAUCUGGGUUCGACAGCCUCCAGGAAAGGGUCUGGAAUGGAUGGGAAUAAUAUGGAGGAAUGGAAACACAGAUUACAAUUCAGCUCUCAAAUCCCGACUGAGCAUCAACAGGGACACCUCCAAGAGUCAAGUUUUCCUAAAAAUGAACAGUCUGCAAACGGAUGACACAGCCAUUUACUACUGUACCAGAGACACAGUGAGGGAAGUCCAUUGUGAAUUUACACAAAAACUUCCCUACAGGGAUUCUUAG